This 2890-nucleotide ribosomal RNA is filed under the name Neisseria gonorrhoeae. RNAcentral's name for it is "bacterial LSU rRNA". It matches the Rfam family "Bacterial large subunit ribosomal RNA". Lineage: Bacteria; Pseudomonadati; Pseudomonadota; Betaproteobacteria; Neisseriales; Neisseriaceae. The record is from RNAcentral.
UCAAGUGAAUAAGUGCAUCAGGCGGAUGCCUUGGCGAUGAUAGGCGACGAAGGACGUGUAAGCCUGCGAAAAGCGCGGGGGAGCUGGCAAUAAAGCUAUGAUUCCGCGAUGUCCGAAUGGGGAAACCCACUGCAUUCUGUGCAGUAUCCUAAGUUGAAUACAUAGGCUUAGAGAAGCGAACCCGGAGAACUGAACCAUCUAAGUACCCGGAGGAAAAGAAAUCAACCGAGAUUCCGCAAGUAGUGGCGAGCGAACGCGGAGGAGCCUGUACGUAAUAACUGUCGAGAUAGAAGAACAAGCUGGGAAGCUUGACCAUAGCGGGUGACAGUCCCGUAUUCGAAAUCUCAACAGCGGUACUAAGCGUACGAAAAGUAGGGCGGGACACGUGAAAUCCUGUCUGAAUAUGGGGGGACCAUCCUCCAAGGCUAAAUACUCAUCAUCGACCGAUAGUGAACCAGUACCGUGAGGGAAAGGCGAAAAGAACCCCGGGAGGGGAGUGAAACAGAACCUGAAACCUGAUGCAUACAAACAGUGGGAGCGCCCUAGUGGUGUGACUGCGUACCUUUUGUAUAAUGGGUCAACGACUUACAUUCAGUAGCGAGCUUAACCGGAUAGGGGAGGCGUAGGGAAACCGAGUCUUAAUAGGGCGAUGAGUUGCUGGGUGUAGACCCGAAACCGAGUGAUCUAUCCAUGGCCAGGUUGAAGGUGCCGUAACAGGUACUGGAGGACCGAACCCACGCAUGUUGCAAAAUGCGGGGAUGAGCUGUGGGUAGGGGUGAAAGGCUAAACAAACUCGGAGAUAGCUGGUUCUCCCCGAAAACUAUUUAGGUAGUGCCUCGAGCAAGACACUGAUGGGGGUAAAGCACUGUUAUGGCUAGGGGGUUAUUGCAACUUACCAACCCAUGGCAAACUCAGAAUACCAUCAAGUGGUUCCUCGGGAGACAGACAGCGGGUGCUAACGUCCGUUGUCAAGAGGGAAACAACCCAGACCGCCGGCUAAGGUCCCAAAUGAUAGAUUAAGUGGUAAACGAAGUGGGAAGGCACAGACAGCCAGGAUGUUGGCUUAGAAGCAGCCAUCAUUUAAAGAAAGCGUAAUAGCUCACUGGUCGAGUCGUCCUGCGCGGAAGAUGUAACGGGGCUCAAAUCUAUAACCGAAGCUGCGGAUGCCGGUUUACCGGCAUGGUAGGGGAGCGUUCUGUAGGCUGAUGAAGGUGCAUUGUAAAGUGUGCUGGAGGUAUCAGAAGUGCGAAUGUUGACAUGAGUAGCGAUAAAGCGGGUGAAAAGCCCGCUCGCCGAAAGCCCAAGGUUUCCUACGCAACGUUCAUCGGCGUAGGGUAAGUCGGCCCCUAAGGCGAGGCAGAAAUGCGUAGUCGAUGGGAAACAGGUUAAUAUUCCUGUACUUGAUUCAAAUGCGAUGUGGGGACGGAGAAGGUUAGGUUGGCAAGCUGUUGGAAUAGCUUGUUUAAGCCGGUAGGUGGAAGACUUAGGCAAAUCCGGGUUUUCUUAACACCGAGAAGUGAUGACGAGUGUCUACGGACACGAAGCAACCGAUACCACGCUUCCAGGAAAAGCCACUAAGCUUCAGUUUGAAUCGAACCGUACCGCAAACCGACACAGGUGGGCAGGAUGAGAAUUCUAAGGCGCUUGAGAGAACUCGGGAGAAGGAACUCGGCAAAUUGAUACCGUAACUUCGGGAGAAGGUAUGCCCUCUAAGGUUAAGGACUUGCUCCGUAAGCCCCGGAGGGUCGCAGAGAAUAGGUGGCUGCGACUGUUUAUUAAAAACACAGCACUCUGCCAACACGAAAGUGGACGUAUAGGGUGUGACGCCUGCCCGGUGCCGGAAGGUUAAUUGAAGAUGUGCAAGCAUCGGAUCGAAGCCCCGGUAAACGGCGGCCGUAACUAUAACGGUCCUAAGGUAGCGAAAUUCCUUGUCGGGUAAGUUCCGACCCGCACGAAUGGCGUAACGAUGGCCACACUGUCUCCUCCCGAGACUCAGCGAAGUUGAAGUGGUUGUGAAGAUGCAAUCUACCCGCUGCUAGACGGAGAGACCCCGUGAACCUUUACUGUAGCUUUGCAUUGGACUUUGAAGUCACUUGUGUAGGAUAGGUGGGAGGCUUGGAAGCAGAGACGCCAGUCUCUGUGGAGUCGUCCUUGAAAUACCACCCUGGUGUCUUUGAGGUUCUAACCCAGACCCGUCAUCCGGGUCGGGGACCGUGCAUGGUAGGCAGUUUGACUGGGGCGGUCUCCUCCCAAAGCGUAACGGAGGAGUUCGAAGGUUACCUAGGUCCGGUCGGAAAUCGGACUGAUAGUGCAAUGGCAAAAGGUAGCUUAACUGCGAGACCGACAAGUCGGGCAGGUGCGAAAGCAGGACAUAGUGAUCCGGUGGUUCUGUAUGGAAGGGCCAUCGCUCAACGGAUAAAAGGUACUCCGGGGAUAACAGGCUGAUUCCGCCCAAGAGUUCAUAUCGACGGCGGAGUUUGGCACCUCGAUGUCGGCUCAUCACAUCCUGGGGCUGUAGUCGGUCCCAAGGGUAUGGCUGUUCGCCAUUUAAAGUGGUACGUGAGCUGGGUUUAAAACGUCGUGAGACAGUUUGGUCCCUAUCUGCAGUGGGCGUUGGAAGUUUGACGGGGGCUGCUCCUAGUACGAGAGGACCGGAGUGGACGAACCUCUGGUGUACCGGUUGUAACGCCAGUUGCAUAGCCGGGUAGCUAAGUUCGGAAGAGAUAAGCGCUGAAAGCAUCUAAGCGCGAAACUCGCCUGAAGAUGAGACUUCCCUUGCGGUUUAACCGCACUAAAGGGUCGUUCGAGACCAGGACGUUGAUAGGUGGGGUGUGGAAGCGCGGUAACGCGUGAAGCUAACCCAUACUAAUUGCCCGUGAGGCUUGACUCU